GAUGAAGAACGCAGCGAAAUGCGAUAAGUAAUGUGAAUUGCAGAAUUCCGUGAAUCAUCGAAUCUUUGAACGCACAUUGCGCCCCUUGGUAUUCCAUGGGGCAUGCCUGUUCGAGCGUCAUUUGUACCUUCAAGCUCUGCUUGGUGUUGGGUGUUUGUCUCGCCUCUGCGUGUAGACUCGCCUCAAAAUAAUUGGCAGCCGGCGUAUUGAUUUCGGAGCGCAGUACAUCUCGCGCUUUGCACUCAUAACGACGACGUCCAAAAGUACAUUUUUACACUCUUGACCUCGGAUCAGGUAGGGAUACCCGCUGAACUUAAGCAUAUCAAUAAGCGGAGGA
Molecule: unclassified non-coding RNA, 337 nt
Filed under: soil metagenome
Description: partial contains 5.8S ribosomal RNA, internal transcribed spacer 2, and large subunit ribosomal RNA
Rfam family: 5.8S ribosomal RNA (bases 1-120)
Source: RNAcentral